ACCCGNUGAACUUAAGCAUAUCAAUAAGCGGAGGACAAGAAACCAACAGGGAUUGCCUCAGUAACGGCGAGUGAAGCGGCAACAGCUCAAAUUUGAAAUCUGGCCUCGCGGUCCGAGUUGUAAUUUGCAGAGGACGUCUCGGGCGCGACGCCGGUCGAAGUUCCUUGGAACANGACGUCACAGAGGGUGAGAAUCCCGUACGUGACCGGCGAUCANCCCCACGCGAGACCCCUUCGACNAGUCGAGUUGUUUGNGAAUGCAGCUCUAAAUGGGUGGUAAAUUUCAUCUAAAGCUAAAUACCGGCCAGAGACCGAUAGCGCACAAGUAGAGUGAUCGAAAGAUGAAAAGCACUUUGGAAAGA
Molecule: ribosomal RNA, 361 nt
Filed under: Trapelia coarctata
Lineage: Eukaryota; Fungi; Ascomycota; Lecanoromycetes; Trapeliales; Trapeliaceae
Description: eukaryotic LSU rRNA
Rfam family: Eukaryotic large subunit ribosomal RNA
Source: RNAcentral